RNAcentral lists this ribosomal RNA (440 nucleotides) under uncultured bacterium. RNAcentral describes it as "partial 16S ribosomal RNA". It matches the Rfam family "Bacterial small subunit ribosomal RNA", at positions 338 to 795 of the family's 1533-position model. The record is from RNAcentral.
CCUACGCGCGGCAGCAGUGGGGAAUAUUGCACAAUGGGGGGAACCCUGAUGCAGCGACGCCGCGUGAAGGAUGAAGUAUUUCGGUACGUAAACUUCUAUCAGCAGGGAAGAAAAUGACGGUACCUGACUAAGAAGCCCCGGCUAACUACGUGCCAGCAGCCGCGGUAAUACGUAGGGGGCAAGCGUUAUCCGGAUUUACUGGGUGGAAAGGGAGCGUAGACGGGCCAGCAAGUCUGAUGUGAAAACCCGGGGCACAACCCCGGGAGUGCAUUGGAAACUGCGGGCCUAGAGUGCCGGAGAGGUAAGCGGAAUUCUUAGUGUAGCGGUGAAAUGCGUAGAGAUUAGGAGGAACACCAGUGGCGAAGGCGGCUUACUGGACGGUAACUGACGUUGAGGCUCGAAAGCGUGGGGAGCAAACAGGAUUAGAUACCCCAGUAGUC